AGACGUGCUAAAGCGACUCCUCAGGAAUGGAUCGAGAUAGAGACUGGAUCUAAUAAGCUUCUUAUCCAAACUGACG
This 76-nucleotide non-coding RNA is filed under the name Legionella fallonii LLAP-10. RNAcentral describes it as "Legionella RNA 69". It matches the Rfam family "Legionella RNA 69". Lineage: Bacteria; Pseudomonadati; Pseudomonadota; Gammaproteobacteria; Legionellales; Legionellaceae. The record is from Rfam by way of RNAcentral.